This 1557-nucleotide long non-coding RNA is filed under the name Urocitellus parryii (Arctic ground squirrel). RNAcentral describes it as "lncRNA (ENSUPAG00010002827.1)". The record is from RNAcentral. Lineage: Eukaryota; Metazoa; Chordata; Mammalia; Rodentia; Sciuridae.
UAGCUCAGAGGGGACCCAAUUAGCUACCCAGGGCGCAGGUGAGGAGGUUGCUGCUGGUGUUGGGCAGCUCCGAUGGGGCUACUUCACUUUCUGCCAGAGUUGGGGGUUGAAGCAGCAUGCAGCCCUCCCAGAAGCUGCGCAGAUGCGGGUGCCAUGCUCUUGCACUUUUGUUAUGGUUUGGAUCAGACUUGUCCCCCAGAGGCUCAUGUGUUGAAGGCAUGAUCCCCAAUGCAGCAGUGUCCAGAGGUGGGGCUUUGGGGAAGUGACUGGAUCAUGAGGGCUCUGUCCUCAUCGAUGGUUUUAUCCGUUGAUAAUUGAAUAGACCAAUAAGAGGUGGUGAGGGCUGUGGGAGACGGGGCCUAGUUGAGGGGAGUGGGUCCUUGGGGUCAUGGUCUUGGGGACUUAUUCUUAUCCCUGGCCCCUUUUCCUCCCCCCCCCCCGCCCUUCUGCCUGCCGGUAGUUGACAUCUUUACUCCACCACGUCCUAAUGCCAUGAUGUUCUGCCUCACCUCAGGCCCACAGCAAUGGAGCCUGCUCCCCAAGGACUGAACCCUCUGAAACCGUGAGCCAUCAUAAAUCUCUCCUCCUCUAAGUUGUGUGUGUCAGGUAUUUUGAAAAUGCACAACGUCCCAGCUUCCAGAACCAUAAGCCAAAAUAAUGCCCAGUCUCAGAUAUUCUGUGAUGGCAACAGAAAACAGAUGAAGGCAGUUUAUGCAAGGAGUUAUAUAACCACACUUUGAAUAAGAGCUUUUUUUUUUUUUGCUUUUUUUAACUUCAUACCUUAAGAGUUGAGUUCCUACUGGACCCUUGUGCCCUGGCUGAGGAGGGGGAAGGAGAUGAGGCCUGAAGCCCCACACAGUUCUCUCUUGCCCUUUACUUCCUACUCAGCUGCACUGAGAAGGGAAACAUGAACCCAAGUUAGGACCACACUCCUGCCCUGCUUGGGCUUUGUCCUCUGGGCUUUGUUGGAUUGUUGUGGAUUCAUCUCCUAGGAACCGUCUGACUCCCUCUCUCCUGGGUGUUCCUGCAGCUCAGGGAGUCUCGUUCAUCUCUAAACUCCUGUUUAGAGGAGUUGAGGCACUAACCCAAGUAGAAACAUUGCCCAAUGGAAUUGGUGAAUGGAAGCAUCUCAUCUCAGAGCACCGCAGAUUCCUCAUCUGCAAAUGGAGCAGCUUGGCAAGAACAAACCCAUCUCCAAGACUCAGCACUCAUAAAUUAAUAAGUGAGUGUUCCUAUGUCAAUCCAGUCAGCAAGUGAUCGAUUUUGAACCUUGGCUUCUGAAUAAUACAUCUGGGGUCCUUGGCUUGAAAUUUGGCUUUAUUCUUACUACUGACAUUGAUUUAAAUGACAUUUAUAUUGCAUAGAAAAUGCUCAAAUUAUUACUCCAAUAGGCAAGCAUAAGUCACUGAGAUUGAAAUGUCUUCCAUCUCAGUUGGCCAGCACAUCACCUCCAUGAAAGGUCUCAACAGGGAGAGGAACUCGAUCUCUUUAUACAAUGACAAUCUGGAUCUGCUUGGGAGCGCAGGCACCUCCUCACACCUGGAUGUCAGAGGUUGG